This 467-nucleotide ribosomal RNA is filed under the name uncultured bacterium. Its description in RNAcentral is "bacterial SSU rRNA". It matches the Rfam family "Bacterial small subunit ribosomal RNA", at positions 62 to 524 of the family's 1533-position model. The record is from RNAcentral.
UCGAACGGCAGCACGGAGCUUGCUCUGGUGGCGAGUGGCGAACGGGUGAGUAAUAUAUCGGAACGUACCCUAGAGUGGGGGAUAACGUAGCGAAAGUUACGCUAAUACCGCAUACGAUCUAAGGAUGAAAGUGGGGGAUCGCAAGACCUCAUGCUCGUGGAGCGGCCGAUAUCUGAUUAGCUAGUUGGUAGGGUAAAAGCCUACCAAGGCAUCGAUCAGUAGCUGGUCUGAGAGGACGACCAGCCACACUGGAACUGAGACACGGUCCAGACUCCUACGGGAGGCAGCAGUGGGGAAUUUUGGACAAUGGGCGAAAGCCUGAUCCAGCAAUGCCGCGUGAGUGAAGAAGGCCUUCGGGUUGUAAAGCUCUUUUGUCAGGGAAGAAACGGUGGGAGCUAAUAUCUCUUGCUAAUGACGGUACCUGAAGAAUAAGCACCGGCUAACUACGUGCCAGCAGCCGCGGUAAU